This is a long non-coding RNA of Choloepus didactylus (southern two-toed sloth), 3295 nucleotides long. RefSeq lists it as uncharacterized. The record is from RefSeq and is a predicted model, not a curated record. Lineage: Eukaryota; Metazoa; Chordata; Mammalia; Pilosa; Megalonychidae. The transcript has 3 exons.
UUCCGGGCUGGCCGGCUCGGGGCCGCUCGCGCAGUCACGCGCGUACACACAUCACCCCCGCACCCACACGCCCAGCGGGGUCCUCGCCUCUCCUCCCGGCGCCGCUCCACGCAGCCAAGCAUCAUCUGCCCGGCGGGGGCGCAGGUAUUGCAAGCCUGUGGGUUUGAAGCUUAAAAGUACCUGUGGUCUUUGUCCUCAUGGCGUCUGGUGAGGAAGACUGGACAAAGAGAAGAGGGGUAAAGGGUCUGGAGAUGGCAUCCACCUCCCCGGCCCCUCCCCUGCCUCCCGUGGUGGUCAGCCCCCCAGCAGGGAGAGAAGCACCAGGGGGAAGAUGUCUUGGGCCAAGGUGCCUCAUUUAUCAAGAAAGCCCCGUGAUGUAGCUAUUGUUUUAUCCCCAUCUUACAGAGGAGGAAACUGAGACCCAAAGAGGGCAAAACCCCUGUGUGGGAGGUGGGAAGAGUCACUUGCCUGCUGAGAGUGGCUGCUCCAUUUUGCCUUCUGUCUUCUUGCUGUGGCACAGGUAACUGCUACCACAAUUUAAAAUUUAAAAAUCCAGUUCCUCAGUCACACUUGACACAUUUCAGGUGCUCUGUAGCCACACAUGGCUAGUGGCUGCUGCAUGGGACAGCACGGAUACAGGACAUUUCCUUCAUCAUGGAGAAUUCUAUCAGACGGUGCUGCCCAAGAGCAGGGGUCAGCAAACCUCGGGAGCCAAGUCCAGCUGGCUGCCUGUUUUUAAUAAAUAAAGCUUUAUUGGAACGCAGCCACGCUUAUUCAUCUAUAUAUUGCCUUUGGCUGCUUUCCGUGCUACAAAUGGCAGAAACCCUCACAGUCCAACUUGACAAUAGUGAUCUAAAACAGUGGUCCUCAAAGUGUGGUCCCUGAACCAGUAGCAUCAGUUUCACCAGGGAAAUUCUUAGAAAUGCAAAUUCUCAGGCCCCACCCCAAACCAACCAAAUUGGAAACGCUGGAGCUGGGACCCAGCAUACUAAACAAGCCUUCCAGGUCAUUCUGAUGUACAUGCAAGAGGAAAACCACUACCCCAAAAUACACAUUGGGGGAAAUGCCAACCUAAUGCCUGGCUCAGUUAGGGUGCCAGUGGGCUUCCGUGCAGGAGCAGAGUGUGGAGUGGUGUCAGAGAGCAUUAACCCACCAGCUGCCUGGCCCCUCUCAGCCCUGCGACAGAGGCCACGCCAACCAGAGGGGACCCCUCGCCAGCCGUGGGCACUGAUGCCCCAUGCCGCCCCGCCCUCCCACCAAGUUGUCAGCACACUCCGAGCUGCCUCACGCAUAAAUUCACAGACCAGCUGUCUCUUUUAAUCUGGUUGCAAAAUGAAACCAUUAAUAGAUGUCAGACACAUUGGCAAUGAUCUCUUCAUUAAUAAUUUCCUCCUUUCUUAGGAAAAAAAAAUUAGUAACAAGCAACCAUCAAUAAUUCAAAAAUACAAGUUAACCUUUCUAUUAGCAGAGCCACUCUGCACACACUGUGGACUCUUCCAGAGCCCAUAGUUCUGGCUUGAGAAAUGUUUUGAUGGCAUGAAUAUUAAUAUACAUUAAUGCUGUCCGUCAAGGCACACAAACAUAAAUAACCCAGAUGCAGCUUAGAAACCAUAAGUGUUUUUCAACUUUAUCCUCAUGAUCCAGCCAUUUUAUUUCUACAAAAAUAUGCAUUAUCCAACAAUAUUUCGGGGUCCAAAAUCAGGAGUCUACUGAGGAAUCCAUUUCCAGAUAAAGGCCCUUGUGCAAGUAAGUUCUCCCUUUCAGUGUUGGCUGAACCAACACUGCCUCUCUAUAAUUCCCUCUCUUCAAAGUUUGUUCCUCUCUCUGAGGACACACAGAUAAGCUUGGACACACUUCCAGGUAACUUUCAUUCAGGUGUUGGCUCUGUGCCAGGUAAGCUUUUUCAAUUCCUUACACCCUUUCUAUUCCACUUCUGUGUGUUUUCAGAUCCCUAAUACCUGGUUCCUCUCCUCAGACCCGCUUCAUUUGGGCAGUGCCCCCACACCUGCCACAUCCCCACGCCUCCAUUUACCACCCAUGUGACCACACACUAGUCACUUCCCCUCUCCAAAUCUGUUUCCCCAUCUGUGAAAUUGGGGUGAUUAUUCCCACCUCACUGAGCUGAUGUGGGAAUUAAGUGAGUUAAUGGAUGUGAAAACACCUAGAACAGACAUGACCUGCUCAAGAGAACAUUUCCUUUUUUUCCUCCUUCCAAGUCUUUGAUUGGCCAUACCACCCAGCCUUGACAAGAGGCCAACUCUUCUAGACACUGGAACGUCAAAACAGCGUGGAGAGCCAGCUGCUUCGUCCUUAGGCCAAACACCAGCACGGGCCAGACUCUUGGCAAGUCAACCUCAGUGCCUAGGUUGCCCCAAAUUUAAUGCUAGAACCACAUCUCGCUUUGCCCAUUUGGAAUCUGCCAAACAGCUGCUGCUUUUCAUUAAAAAUAAAAUUAAGCAAUGGGCCGUGAGCACCCACCAUGGCAUUUGUACCUCGAAUCUGACCUGGCCUUGUGCUGGGUAGUGGGGAUGUGAAGAUAAAGUGACCCCAUUCACAAGGAGAGGUCACACCAGCACACCUGGGUGUUGGGGUUGAAUAACAGAUGUCAAACAUGAUUGAGGUCUGGCCCCAGCCUCUGCUUCCCACUUCCAGCAAAACAGCUUCUCUGAUGAAGCAGAAAAGGCACUGUUCUUGCAGCAGCCGGGCUCCCUGGAGUUGGGCACGUGCCUCUUCAGAACACUGAAGUCCCCAAGACUCUCAGCUCCUUUUCUGACUCCAAACUCAGAUUCUGGAAGAUCACAGGCAGGGAUGGACCUGAGAGAGACCCUCAUACCUGGCCACCUCCAGGAAUCCUUGCAUGUACUGAGAGAUGUGACUGAAGAGCAUGUGUUGGACAAACGAAUGGCACAAUUCUCAAAAGGGUCCAUGGGAUGCACCUGCACCAGAAGCACCUGAGAUGGCUGGUAAUUUUCCAUGCAGCUGACACUGCAUGACCGAUGCAGAGUCAGGGAUGAGGGAGAUCGAGAGCCUCCAGGCACAGCCCAGCCUGCAGAGGCCAGGUGUGCAACUUGCUCAUUUUUGUGUCUCUGACACCUAUAGGGACUUAGAGUAUGAAUACUGAGCCUGAAACAUGUACACAAUAAUGUUUGAGGCAGGACUCUUUUUGUUACAAAAGACAGAGACCUGGAUCAAGCUUAAGUAAAAAGAGGGAUCUAAUAGCUUAUUUAGUUGAGUAGUAGUUCAUGAGCAUCUCAAGCAGAGCUGGAUCCAGGUACUCAGAUGGUAUCAGGGACCC